Molecule: ribosomal RNA, 457 nt
Filed under: uncultured bacterium
Lineage: Bacteria
Description: partial 16S ribosomal RNA
Rfam family: Bacterial small subunit ribosomal RNA
Source: RNAcentral
GAUGAACGCUGGCGGCGUGCCUAAUACAUGCAAGUCGAGCGGUAAGGCCCUUCGGGGUACACGAGCGGCGGACGGCUGAGUAACACGUAGGAACCUACCCCAAACUGAGGGAUAAGCACCAGAAAUGGUGUCUAAUACCGCAUGUGCUCUACGGAGUAAAGCUUCGGCGGUUUGGGAAGGGCCUGCGUCCGAUUAGCUAGUUGGUGGUAUAAAAGACUACCAAGGCGACGAUCGGUAGCUGGUCUGAGAGGAUGAUCAGCCAGACUGGGACUGAGACACGGCCCAGACUCCUACGGGAGGCAGCAGUAGGGAAUUUUCCACAAUGGGCGAAAGCCUGAUGGAGCAACGCCGCGUGCAGGAUGAAUGCCUUCGGGUUGUAAACUGCUUUUACCUGUGACGAAUAUGACGGUAGCAGAUGAAUUAGGACCUGCUAACUACGUGCCAGCCGCCGCCGUAA